This 71-nucleotide transfer RNA is filed under the name Streptomyces hazeniae. RNAcentral's name for it is "Streptomyces sp. DSM 42041 tRNA-Gln". It matches the Rfam family "tRNA". Rfam says of the family: Transfer RNA (tRNA) molecules are approximately 80 nucleotides in length. Lineage: Bacteria; Bacillati; Actinomycetota; Actinomycetes; Kitasatosporales; Streptomycetaceae. The record is from RNAcentral.
UCCCGGGUCGACUAAGGGCAAGUCCGCAGAUUUUGGCUCUGUUGAUGGGGGUUCGAAUCCUCCCCCGGGAG